CAGUAAAUAGUUUAAUUAAAAUAUUAAUUUUGGGGAUUUAAGUUAAGCCUAUAGCUUUUUACUGA
Molecule: transfer RNA, 65 nt
Filed under: Leptocorisa costalis
Lineage: Eukaryota; Metazoa; Arthropoda; Insecta; Hemiptera; Alydidae
Description: tRNA-Pro
Source: RNAcentral